AGUAUCGGUAUUUUAUCGAAUUAUCGUUUCGAAUUCAUUUUGGAACAAAAUACAACACUGUUAGCUCUCGCAGAGCGAGAAAAAUAUAUAAGCUACGAAUGAACACGAUAAGCAAAUGAAUGGCAGAAAAGAAAAACAUUUUUUUAGUAAAAAAGAAGUAAACGAGUGAUUAUUGAAUGAAGAGUGGUGAAUAGGCAUGUAAUCUGUAUUAUUAACAAAUUAAAAGUAAUUUGUGGCGGAAUUGAUUACAAAGAUUGAUUGUGAAGAAUUAUAAGAUAAAACAGAAAUAUUUCCUUUAAAAGAUAAGAUACUCGUAAAUGUAAGAAUACCCAGAAUUUGCGGAGUAUUAUUGAGUGCCACAGAUUUUAAAUCAAUUAAAAGAAAAACAUAAUUGCAGUUAAGUGCUCCAUAAAUUGCACCUUUGUCCGGGUAGAGUUCAGUUUAAGAGAGUGGAAAACAUUCCACAACUGCUGAAGGUUAACAGGCACCAAUUGUACUACUAAAUCGCAGUUGCAACGAAUUCAGUGGUAUAUAAUCAAACCUUGAAAGAAAGUACGUGGUCCACAAAAUAUACACAGCCAUUGGCCAGAUUUAGAGUGCUACAAAACUUAAGCAAGGAAAUAUACGGAAAAGGAAUUAAGACUCAAUACUUUCAAAUUUAAUUAUGACCACAAUAAAUAUAAAUUCACGAAAAAGUCCAAUGCUAAAAAAGCAGGGCACGGACCAAUGGGUGAAGCUUAAUGUGGGUGGCACAUAUUUCCUUACAACAAAGACUACGCUAUCCCGUGACCCAAAUUCGUUUCUUUCGCGUCUAAUACAAGAAGAUUGUGAUUUAAUAUCAGAUCGGGAUGAAACAGGUGCUUACUUGAUUGAUAGAGACCCAAAAUACUUUGCGCCUGUGUUGAACUACUUGCGACAUGGUAAACUCGUUUUAGACGGUGUGUCCGAGGAAGGCGUUCUAGAGGAAGCCGAAUUUUAUAAUGUCACACAACUCAUAACAUUAUUGAAGGAGUGUAUAAAUCAUAGAGAUCAGCGACCACAAGCCGAUAAAAAGCGUGUAUAUCGUGUAUUGCAGUGUCGUGAACAAGAGUUAACACAGAUGAUCUCAACAUUAUCGGAUGGUUGGCGUUUUGAGCAAUUAAUUAGUGUGGGAAUGCAAUAUACGAAUUAUGGACCAUUCGAAAAUAAUGAAUUUUUAUGCGUAGUCUCAAAAGAAUGUGGCACAACGUCAGGUCGUGAAUUGGAACUGAACGAUCGUGCCAAAGUGCUACAGCAGAAAGGAUCUAGAAUGUAAGAAUUUGUGUAUUCAAACUAAUAAUUCAUCACUGCAGUCGUAUAUAUAUGUAUUUAUUAAGUAAACAAUUUUUUUUUAUAUAUAGUACAUACAUAAAUACAUACAUGUUAUGUGUGUAGUAUUGGGUAGUCGAUAAAACAAGAUUAUUAAAUGCAAAACUUAUAUAGGAAACUUUUCGUGCGUGGAAGAUAAUACUUUCAAUCGUAUAUUUUAGUGAAUAGCGCGAAUUUGUAUUUACCGUUAUAAUGACGGGUAGUAGUAAGUGAUUACUGCGCAAAAGCAGUUAUAUGCUGCUUAUAAAGUAGAUUGCCACUUCAUUACUCUCUUAUAUAGUUUCUUAAGUUAAUUUUUCACUAACAGAGUCACUACAUUGGGUUAUGUGUUUGUUUUUUCCUUUUUUGUAUUAAUUCUUACACAAGUAAUUAACUUUUGUCAUUAAUCAUUAUCAUUUAAAAUUUAAAAAUCGUAUGCUGGUUGAAAAGACAAAUAUAGGUUAUGUUUUCCCACAUUGACAUAAUUAAAUGUAUAAGAUAAAAUAGAUAAUUUAUCUUGUUUGUAGCACUGAAAAUGUAGCCUUAGCACCCCGUUGCAAUCAUCGCUUUUGAUAUUCGAAAAAUGUGGACUGAAAAACUUUAAACUCAAUACGCAGCAAAAAUAAUUAAAUUCUGAAUACUAUUAAUGCCACCAAAAUUAGUUCCCCACCGAAAAUGUGGUGAAAAAUUCUUUGUUGGAUCAACUGGAAAUAAUUAGAAAUUAUUCAGAGCGCGUUUUAAAAUGUGAAUGCGUUAGGUGGGCUAUUAUUAAUAAGUAGGGAAUUUGUGAACAUUUUUUUGUUACAAAUCAAAUCAAAUUAAAAAGUUACAGAUACACAUACUUUUUUUUGCAUAUUUCAAGUAAAAUAAGAGAAUCAAAGUUAUUAAGAUAACCAGAAAUUCUCUAAAAAUUUCUAAUAAAAGUAACAUAUGGCAUUUAGGCCGCCGUGUUUGCCACUUUAGCCCUUAUUUUGACUAAUGUAAUAAAUGAAUAAAUGAUUGUACCGCGGGGGAGCUAGUGAAUGUAGUACGCACAAAAAUCCAAGUAAAUGCCUCGUUUACGAACAUUUUUGUCUUAUACAAGUUAUUAAAAAAACUAUUGCAAAAAAAAAAAAACAAAAUAUAAUAACAAAUAAAAUAAAACCAAUAGAGAUAUACUCUUGCUAUAAUAAGUUAGGUCAUGUCCACAUGAAAAUAUUCAAUAAUCUCUAUAACAAAUUAAUAUAUUCAAAUAGUAAUAUGUAUGUAUAUUUAAGGCAAUAAUGAUAGUUUCUGUUGCAUAAGAUACAUAAUUACGAAGCCAAGCGCAAUUAUGCAAGUGUACAGCGUACUUAUUGUAGCGUAUAUAUAAGUAUAUACAUAUAUUUAUAUGCAAUAACUUUAUAUGUAACUAGUAUACGUUGUUAAAUCUGGCAACCAGCAGCUUUUAUCCACAUAUACGCGCGAUGAAAAUCCUGAAAACCGCUUUAAACACUAAAAAUAUUUAUAUUUGAGAACACACUUAGCAAGAUUUUUAUAGCAAAAUGUGAAAGCAUUAUUUUUCGAUUAGCAACUUCAAAAUAAUUUUCAAAAAAGCAAUAAUUUGAAGACUAAAUUUACGUACAUACAUAUAUUUGUGUAUAUAUAUAUUGUAUGUUGUAUAUUUUAUAUAUGUAUAGUUAUAACUAUAACUAUAGUUGUGUGAGCGAUUUAUAGCUUUUUGUAUGUGUAUGUGUGUGUAUGUCUGAGUGCAUGUGUGCGCAGUAUUAGAACUCACCGCUUUUUAGUUUGAAAAACGUUAAUGUUUACAGCUUUACAAUGAA
This is an RNA transcript of Bactrocera dorsalis (oriental fruit fly), 3128 nucleotides long. It is a transcript of the gene named BTB/POZ domain-containing protein KCTD5, with no coding region annotated. Lineage: Eukaryota; Metazoa; Arthropoda; Insecta; Diptera; Tephritidae. The record is from RefSeq and is a predicted model, not a curated record. The transcript is spliced from 6 exons.